Molecule: long non-coding RNA, 1530 nt
Filed under: Canis lupus dingo (dingo)
Lineage: Eukaryota; Metazoa; Chordata; Mammalia; Carnivora; Canidae
Description: lncRNA (ENSCAFG00020017717.1)
Source: RNAcentral
GCAGUGGUUUAUUUAAUCCUCAAAACAAGGCUAUGGAGCAAAUGCAAUCAUCUAUCUGCACCUUUUACAGAUUAGUAGAGUGAGGCACAUGGAGCAUGAAGGACCUGCCUGAGAGAGAGUCUGUCCCUUACAGAGGCCAGGAGCUGCUGCACAAGACGAUGGUUAAUGAUUCACCCACAGCCCUCAGGGAGCUCCUUUCAGCAGGGGCAACAGAUGCACUUACACAUUCUCUCUCUCUUUCUGUCUCUCUGUCUCUCUUUCAUCUUCAACUCUUCUUUACCCAGCAAGAGGCGGGUGUCCAACAAAUUGCUUGGCAACGCGCGGAGGAAACUCCAUCCAAAGCCCGGGUCUGCCGGGUCCAGCCGCCUCUGGGCGCUGUCCAGCGGGCAGAGCGCCUGAGAGGCCAGGCAGGGGUCCUGUCUCCGGACACCCCGAAGACAAAUACAGAAUUGUGGCUCAUAGUGGAACUGACAUCCUUCCCCACAGAGGAUGAAGGGACUUGCAGAGGACUUGAGGAGGUGGUGCCUUGAGACCCCUGGAGGAAAACACACCAAGGAUAACAAACAAUUCCAUUUAACUUGAUAGAGUUCCAGCUCUCAUGGCUGCAACAGUCAGGUAAAGUGAACCAGAGUGGGCUGAGGGUCCAGGAAAGUUUUCAUCUCAAUUCCAAGUCUGUUAUUCAGUGACUGGGUGACCUUUGAAUCAAACAGCUGAGCCUGGUUUCUUACCUAUAAAAUGAAGGUAGUACCAGCUUCAAGGGGUAACCUUGAUGAUGAAAUGACUAUAGUGCAAUGCCUGGUACAUAGAAAAUGCUUAAUUAAUUAAGCGAAUGAACGGUCCUUUUUAAAAAAACAAAGCAGUACCGUUAUUGGAUGAAGCUGCACUAGCCUUGAAAGCACAGGAUUGCUUAAUGUUGUACAUGACUUGUCCUUAUCGGCAUAUCGUUCCCCAGAUCCUGCGGGAGAGCCUUCACACAGCUUCCCAGACACUCCAUCUGGGGUUAAUCUGCAAUCAAGAAGCCCAGGAGGGUGGAGAUUUGGCAACCCCCUUCCCCAAACCCUUCUCCUCUCCAGCUGGCUCAGAAAAGCUUCACAUUUGCAGCUUCCAUGGCAAUUACAAGAACCUACUCCCUCUUAUUGUUUUUCUUUUCCCCGAUGAUGGAGCAAUCACAUGAUUUCAACAGGAAAAACAACUCUGGAAUCAGAGACUGUCUGAACUGAGCCACAGACUUUCUGGUCUCCAGGUCUGAGUCCCUGGAGGGAAAAGACAUUUGAUGCUGGUGGGAUGGGGGAUGAGCUGGACAAGAAGCAUGACCGGCAUAUGCUCAUACCAGGGCGGCCAACUGAACAGGUUCUGUUUCAGGAUUAAAAACAGUACAAACCCAGCUAGGAGCUCGUAUUUACUGAGUGCUGAGGACCAGGCACUUUACAGGUGUUGUCAAACUUAAUCAUCACAACAGUCUAAAAGGAGUGUUUAUUAUCUUCAUUCUAUGGGUGAGGAGAAGGAAGCUCAGAGAGGGGCCUCUGAGGA